Molecule: long non-coding RNA, 224 nt
Filed under: Volvox carteri
Lineage: Eukaryota; Viridiplantae; Chlorophyta; Chlorophyceae; Chlamydomonadales; Volvocaceae
Description: long non-coding RNA (VCAR_LNC001964)
Source: RNAcentral
GAAUCGUGAUAAGCCAACCCUCGCCAAAACGCAACGGUAUACUUGAAACCUGUUCGGUACAGAAAGGCAACCUAGGAAAAGCUGACUGCUUGCUUGCCUGGACACGAAGGGUUGAGCUGGCCUGCUUACAUGCAAUACUACUGUACACAGAACGAGGAAGGGAGGAACCAUUUUUGGCCUGGCGCACUGGUUUCGGAGCCCACCCGGAUAAUCCGGCAUCUGUG